GACAGAGGGUGCGAGCGUUGUUCGGAAUUACUGGGCGUAAAGCGCAUGUAGGCGGCCGCGCAGGUCGGGUGUGAAAGCCCUCGGCUCAACCGAGGAAGUGCACUCGAAACCGCGUGGCUCGAGUCCCGGAGAGGAAGGUGGAAUUCUUGGUGUAGAGGUGAAAUUCGUAGAUAUCAGGAGGAACACCCGUAGCGAAGGCGGUUCUCUGGGCCGGUACUGACGCUGAGGAGCGAAAGCGUGGGGAGCAAACAGG
RNAcentral lists this ribosomal RNA (253 nucleotides) under uncultured bacterium. RNAcentral's name for it is "partial 16S ribosomal RNA". It matches the Rfam family "Bacterial small subunit ribosomal RNA", at positions 524 to 776 of the family's 1533-position model. The record is from RNAcentral.